AGAGUUUGAUCCUGGCUCAGAGUGAACGCUGGCGGCGUGCUUAACACAUGCAAGUCGAACGGUAACAGGAACUAGCUUGCUAGUUUGCUGACGAGUGGCGCACGGGUGAGUAAUAUAUAGUUAAUGUACCUCGAAGACCGGGAUAGCCAUUGGAAACGAUGAUUAAUACCGGAUACUCCUUCUAAUCAUAAGAUUAGUCGGGAAACGUUUUUUCGCUUCGAGAUCAGACUAUAUCCCAUCAGUUAGUUGGUAGUGUAAGAGACUACCAAGGCAAUGACGGGUAGCGGGUUUGAGAGGAUGAUCCGCCACACUGGUACUGAGACACGGACCAGACUCCUACGGGAGGCAGCAGUGAGGAAUAUUGCACAAUGGAGGAAACUCUGAUGCAGCAACGCCGCGUGGAGGAUGACGCAUUUCGGUGUGUAAACUCCUUUUAUAUGUCAAGAAAAUGACGGUAGCAUAUGAAUAAGCACCGGCUAACUCCGUGCCAGCAGCCGCGGUAAUACGGAGGGUGCAAGCGUUACUCGGAAUCACUGGGCGUAAAGGGCGCGCAGGCUGGUUGGUAAGUCUGAUGUGAAAUCCUACAGCUCAACCGUAGAACUGCAUUGGAAACUACCAACCUAGAGUCUGGGAGGGGAAGAUGGAAUUAGUUGUGUAGGGGUAAAAUCCGUAGAGAUAACUAGGAAUACCAAAAGCGAAGGCGAUCUUCUGGAACAGUACUGACGCUGAGAUGCGAAAGCGUGGGGAGCAAACAGGAUUAGAUACCCUGGUAGUCCACGCAGUAAACGAUGAAUGUUAGUCGUCGGGUAGGUCCAUUCGGUGAUGCAGUUAACACAUUAAACAUUCCGCCUGGGGAGUACGGUCGCAAGAUUAAAACUCAAAGGAAUAGACGGGGACCCGCACAAGUGGUGGAGCAUGUGGUUUAAUUCGAAAAUACGCGAAGAACCUUACCUAGCCUUGACAUAUUUUAGAACACACCAGAGAUGGAGUGGUGCCUUCGGGAGUUCAUAUACAGGUGCUGCACGGCUGUCGUCAGCUCGUGUCGUGAGAUGUUGGGUUAAGUCCCGCAACGAGCGCAACCCUCGUGUCUAGUUACUAACAGUUCGGCUGAGACUCUAUUAGGACUGCCUUCGCAAGAAGGAGGAAGGUGAGGACGACGUCAAGUCAUCAUGGCCCUUACGGCUAGGGCAACACACGUGCUACAAUGGGCAGGACAAUUAGAAGCAAUACCGCGAGGUGGAGCAAAUCUAUAAACCUGUUCUCAGUUCGGAUUGUAGUCUGCAACUCGACUACAUGAAGCUGGAAUCACUAGUAAUCGUAGAUCAGCUAUGCUACGGUGAAUACGUUCCCGGGUCUUGUACUCACCGCCCGUCACACCAUGGGAGUUGAUUUCACCCGAAGCGGGGAAGCUAAACUGGCUACCCUCCACGGUGGAAUUAGCGACUGGGGUGAAGUCGUAACAAGGUAGCCGU
RNAcentral lists this ribosomal RNA (1472 nucleotides) under uncultured prokaryote. RNAcentral describes it as "partial 16S ribosomal RNA". It matches the Rfam family "Bacterial small subunit ribosomal RNA". The record is from RNAcentral.